GCGACCCCAGGUCAGGCGGGAUUACCCGCUGAGU
Molecule: ribosomal RNA, 34 nt
Filed under: Weigela maximowiczii
Lineage: Eukaryota; Viridiplantae; Streptophyta; Magnoliopsida; Dipsacales; Caprifoliaceae
Also listed under: 2 other names
Description: partial 26S ribosomal RNA
Source: RNAcentral